AAAAAAAAUUCAAAAAAAACAACAUGGCCCAAUGCUCCCAGAUUCCUGCAGAAACCUCCCCAACUGUUCCCCCAGCCGCCCAGCACACAGAAAUUCAAACUCAGAAAAA
This is a long non-coding RNA of Podarcis raffonei (Aeolian wall lizard), 109 nucleotides long. RefSeq lists it as uncharacterized. NCBI's taxonomy places the organism in Eukaryota, Metazoa, Chordata, Lepidosauria, Squamata, Lacertidae. The record is from RefSeq and is a predicted model, not a curated record. The transcript is spliced from 2 exons.